GACUCCAUGAAGCUGGAUUCGCUAGUAAUCGCGCAUCAGCCACGGCGCGGUGAAUACGUUCCCGGGCCUUGUACACACCGCCCGUCAAGCCAUGGAAGCCGGGGGUGCCUGAAGUGCGCUGCCGCGAGGAGCGCCCUAGGGUAAAACCGGUGACUGGGGCUAAGUCGUAACAAGGUAGC
Molecule: ribosomal RNA, 179 nt
Filed under: uncultured bacterium
Lineage: Bacteria
Description: partial 16S ribosomal RNA
Rfam family: Bacterial small subunit ribosomal RNA
Source: RNAcentral